UGAGGAAUAUUGGUCAAUGGCCGUAAGUCUGAACCAGCCAUGCCGCGUGAAGGAUGAAGGCGUUCUGCGUUGUAAACUUCUUUUAUUAGGGAAGAAACCUGAUUUUUCUAAAUCAGCCGACGGUACCUAAGGAAUAAGCACCGGCUAACUCCGUGCCCGCAGCCGCGGUAAUACGGAGGGUGCAAGCGUUAUCCGGAUUUACUGGGUUUAAAGGGUGUGUAGGCGGACUUUUAAGUCCGUGGUGAAAUCUCCGGGCUCAACCCGGAAACUGCCAUGGAUACUAUUGGUCUUGAAUAUUGUUGAGGUGGGCGGAACGGGUCAUGUAGCGGUGAAAUGCAUAGAUAUGACCCGGAACACCGAUUGCGAAGGCAGCCCACUAAGCAAUGAUUGACGCUGAGGCACGAAAGCGUGGGGAUCAAACAG
RNAcentral lists this ribosomal RNA (423 nucleotides) under uncultured bacterium. RNAcentral describes it as "bacterial SSU rRNA". It matches the Rfam family "Bacterial small subunit ribosomal RNA", at positions 355 to 775 of the family's 1533-position model. The record is from RNAcentral.